Molecule: ribosomal RNA, 494 nt
Filed under: uncultured bacterium
Lineage: Bacteria
Description: bacterial SSU rRNA
Rfam family: Bacterial small subunit ribosomal RNA
Source: RNAcentral
AUGAACGCUAGUGGCAGGCUUAAUACAUGCAAGUUGAGGGGCAGCAUGAUAUACGCGAGUAUAUUGAUGGCGACCGGCGGACGGGUGAGUAAUAGGUAGGAGACCUACCUCAUACAGGGGGAUAGCAUAGAGAAAUCUGUGGUAAUACCCCAUGAGGUUAUAUGAAUAGAGGCAUAUAAUCAAAGCAUAAGCGAUUAUGCGGUAUGAGAGGGGCCUACUGACCAUUAGCUAGUUGGUGAGGUAAGGGCUCACCAAGGCGAAGAUGGUUAGGGGUUUUGAGAGAGAGACCCCCCACAUUGGAACUGAGAGACGGUCCAGACUCCUACGGGAGGCAGCAGUAGGGAAUAUUGGGCAAUGGGCGAAAGCCUGACCCAGCCAUGCCGCGUGAAGGAAGACGGCCUUAUGGGUUGUAAACUUCUUUACUACGCGAAUAGAGGUUAGUACGAGAUACUAAUAGGAAGGUAGUGUAGUAAAAAGCACCGGCUAACUCCGUG